UACGUAGGGGGCAAGCGUUGUCCGGAAUCAUUGGGCGUAAAGAGCGUGUAGGCGGUCCGGUAAGUCGGCUGUGAAAGUCCAAGGCUCAACCCUGGGAUGCCGGUCGAUACUGCCGGACUAGAGUUCGGAAGAGGCGAGUGGAAUUCCCGGUGUAGCGGUGAAAUGCGCAGAUAUCGGGAGGAACACCUAUGGCGAAGGCAGCUCGCUGGGACGUUACUGACGCUGAGACGCGAAAGCGUGGGGAGCAAACAGG
Molecule: ribosomal RNA, 253 nt
Filed under: uncultured bacterium
Lineage: Bacteria
Description: partial 16S ribosomal RNA
Rfam family: Bacterial small subunit ribosomal RNA
Source: RNAcentral